Molecule: ribosomal RNA, 495 nt
Filed under: uncultured bacterium
Lineage: Bacteria
Description: partial 16S ribosomal RNA
Rfam family: Bacterial small subunit ribosomal RNA
Source: RNAcentral
GAUGAACGCUAGCGGCGUGCUUAACACAUGCAAGUCGAACGAAGCACCUCUCCCGAAGAUUGACACAGCUUGCUGUAGAUUGAUUCAUUUGAGGUGACUGAGUGGCGGACGGGUGAGUAACGCGUGGGUAACCUGCCUCAUAGAGGGGGACAACAGUUGGAAACGACUGCUAAUACCGCAUAGUAAGAAGAAUUCGCAUGUUUUCUUCUUGAAAGAUUUAUCGCUAUGAGAUGGACCCGCGUCUGAUUAGCUAGUUGGUAAGGUAACGGCUUACCAAGGCGACGAUCAGUAGCCGGCUUGAGAGAGUGAACGGCCACAUUGGGACUGAGACACGGCCCAAACUCCUACGGGAGGCAGCAGUGGGGAAUAUUGCACAAUGGGGGAAACCCUGAUGCAGCGACGCCGCGUGAGUGAAGAAGUAUUUCGGUAUGUAAAGCUCUAUCAGCAGGGAAGAUAAUGACGGUACCUGACUAAGAAGCCCCGGCUAACUACGUG